UUGAACGCUGGCGGCAGGCCUAACACAUGCAAGUCGCACGGUAACAGGAAGAAGCUUGCUUCUUUGCUGACGAGUGGCGGACGGGUGAGUAAUGUCUGGGAAACUGCCUGAUGGAGGGGGAUAACUACUGGAAACGGUAGCUAAUACCGCAUAAUGUCGCAAGACCAAAGAGGGGGACCUUCGGGCCUCUUGCCAUCGGAUGUGCCCAGAUGGGAUUAGCUAGUAGGUGGGGUAACGGCUCACCUAGGCGACGAUCCCUAGCUGGUCUGAGAGGAUGACCAGCCACACUGGAACUGAGACACGGUCCAGACUCCUACGGGAGGCAGCAGUGGGGAAUAUUGCACAAUGGGCGCAAGCCUGAUGCAGCUAUGCCGCGUGUAUGAAGAAGGCCUUCGGGUUGUAAAGUACUUUCAGCGGGGAGGAAGGGAGUAAAGUUAAUACCUUUGCUCAUUGACGUUACCCGCAGAAGAAGCACCGGCUAACUCCGUG
RNAcentral lists this ribosomal RNA (489 nucleotides) under uncultured bacterium. Its description in RNAcentral is "partial 16S ribosomal RNA". It matches the Rfam family "Bacterial small subunit ribosomal RNA", at positions 30 to 507 of the family's 1533-position model. The record is from RNAcentral.